Molecule: non-coding RNA, 1987 nt
Organism: Misgurnus anguillicaudatus (oriental weatherfish)
Lineage: Eukaryota; Metazoa; Chordata; Actinopteri; Cypriniformes; Cobitidae
Source: RefSeq, a predicted model, not a curated record
UGGUAUACAUGGAGUGUGCUGGCCCAUGCAAAAACACCUGCUCGGCCCCAAAUGGAGCCAUGCUGUGUACAGAUCACUGUGUAGAUGGCUGUUUCUGCCCUGAGGGCACUGUGGAAGACAAAAUUGGUAACAGUGGUUGCGUUCCUUUAAACAAAUGCCCAUGUAUGCACGGCAGCACAAUAUACCAGACUGGAGAGUCAUACAAGCAAGCAUGUAAACAAUGAUAAGUCACACACAUGCAUCAGUCAACUGCUGUACCGUAACUGCUGGAGUUGCAUGGAUCAGGAAUGUCCUGGAAUCUGCUCUGUUGUGGGAGGCUCUCACAUCACCACCUAUGAUGGAAAAACCUUCAGCUUUAAUGGCAACUGUGACUACAUCCUCACUAAGGAGCUGCAGGCCUUUAUGGAGAGCAAGGGCCACACCUGCAAGCAAUGUAACUGUGGAAUGGAUAAAGAUCCGUUUCAUACGGUUACUUGUGUUGAUCUAACCUGCACACCUUGUGCUGAGGGCUUCAAAGAGGUGAAGGUAAACAAAAAGCCUGCAUAUACAAUGCAGCAAACAACACCCAACUAAUUAUACAGGUUGGAGAAGUGCUCACCCAGAAAUGUGAGAGCAUUUCCUGCCAGCAAAUUAAUGACACGUUUGUGCCGGUGAAGGCAGUAAAAACCUGCCCUGAAUACAAUUCAAAUGAUUGUGUCCCUGGAACCGAGACAUCAGAUGCGGAUGGAUGCUGCAAGACCUGUGAGCACAGUAACUGUGUUCGAUUGAGGAAUACCACCCAAAUCCAUGUGAAAGGCUGCACCUCCAUUGGGCCUAUAGAAGUGACUUUCUGCAGUGGCCACUGUGACAGCCAGUCAAUGUGAGAGCAUACACGCACGCACCUGUUCGAUAACAAACAACAAGACUUAUGAGUUCUCCAAUAAACCUCUUAGUCUUGCCUCAUUUCACAUAAUAUAUAGUCCCUAACACAAUGAUGCACAGCUGCUCAUGUUGCCGAGAGAGUAGAACCAGCACUAAACAAGUGAAGCUGAAGUGUCCCGAUAACAGCGAGAUCAUGUACAACUACGGCUACACUGAGAGCUGUGAAUGCACACCAACAAAGUGCAUAGACUUGAAUACUUGUCGCAUAAAAUGUCUUUCAGCUUUUGCCUUGAUUACUGUUGAUUUAAACAUUAUCUGUUGAAUAAGAAAGCAAUUAUAAAUGAAUGUAAGCGAUUGUGCAUAAUUAACAAACGUUACUUUGGUAAAAAUUCCACUACACAGCUUUUUGUUUGUAGUUUGACUUUAAUAGGGUUCUAAGGGAAUUUUGGGAACUGUAUUUCAUUUCCUGCUUUAUCCUGUCUAUAGUAAUGAAUGAUGAAUCCAAUAAAGCAAAAUAAACUGCAACAGCUAAAAUCUUUCUGAGUGGCUCUUCGAUUAAGCAAACAUUUUUUACAUGAAAAUUCAAUUACUCUAGUAUUUGUGUGUAUAAUUAAUAAAAAUAUGUGAUGUGUUAGCAUGACACUUAUGGUGUUUUCACAUAUGUUGGUGCGCACCGUGGUGCGGCCUCGGAGCGCACCAAAAUACAUUGUAUCAUUUUUCAGUUAGUGCGGUCCGUGUUCACAUAUUAUUUUUUUACUGUACUCGAAAUGCCGCACCGAACACCACGUGACAACGGUCAGCCCUGCCAUUGGUCUCUGACAGCUCUUACCGUCUCAUGACCACCCCCACGUUUCCACGACAACCAGCCUGACAGGGAGAGCGCAGCUAUCAAGAUGUGGAGAUAAACGAUGCACGUCUUUGCGAAGUUAUUUGCUUUAAUGGGAAAUUGUGUAGCUGUUCUAUUAAAGCCGUUCUCACGGAGCCGUUUGCUAAAAAGCCUGUAAUGUCACUAUUUGUGUGUGGAGGACAGCUAUGCAUUUAUAAAAUCAUCAGCUCAAACGUAAAGGAGACAGCGAAUCUCUGCAACGGACCAGGACUGGCUUGUUUGUUGUUAACCCACAAUAUA